AUAACUGACUUGUGACAGAGAAGUGUUCAUAGCAAUUUCAGUUUUUGAUUAUCAGGUAUUGGCUCUGCCACUGUGAAGCAGAAAUAAGCAAGCCUUGGGUUGUUUACCCAUUAAUACACAUGAACACGAUUUAGAUCAUCAUUAGACAGGUA
This 152-nucleotide non-coding RNA is filed under the name Lepisosteus oculatus (spotted gar). Its description in RNAcentral is "Eukaryotic large subunit ribosomal RNA". It matches the Rfam family "Eukaryotic large subunit ribosomal RNA", at positions 2826 to 2984 of the family's 3401-position model. The record is from Rfam by way of RNAcentral. Lineage: Eukaryota; Metazoa; Chordata; Actinopteri; Semionotiformes; Lepisosteidae.